RNAcentral lists this ribosomal RNA (1088 nucleotides) under Salmonella enterica subsp. enterica serovar Typhimurium. RNAcentral's name for it is "bacterial LSU rRNA". The record is from RNAcentral. Lineage: Bacteria; Pseudomonadati; Pseudomonadota; Gammaproteobacteria; Enterobacterales; Enterobacteriaceae.
ACCAACCCGAUGCAAACUGCGAAUACCGGAAAAUGUUAUCACGGRRGACACACGGCGGGUGCUAACGUCCGUCGUGAAGAGGGAAACAACCCAGACCGCCAGCUAAGGUCCCAAAGUCAUGGUUAAGUGGGAAACGAUGUGGGAAGGCCCAGACAGCCAGGAUGUUGGCUUAGAAGCAGCCAUCAUUUAAAGAAAGCGUAAUAGCUCACUGGUCGAGUCGGCCUGCGCGGAAGAUGUAACGGGGCUAAACCAUGCACCGAAGCUGCGGCAGCGACGCUGAUGCGUUGUUGGGUAGGGGAGCGUUCUGUAAGCCUGCGAAGGUGACCUGUGAGGGUUGCUGGAGGUAUCAGAAGUGCGAAUGCUGACAUAAGUAACGAUAAAGCGGGUGAAAAGCCCGCUCGCCGGAAGACCAAGGGUUCCUGUCCAACGUUAAUCGGGGCAGGGUGAGUCGACCCCUAAGGCGAGGCCGAAAGGCGUAGUCGAUGGGAAACGGGUUAAUAUUCCCGUACUUGGUGUUACUGCGAAGGGGGGACGGAGAAGGCUAUGUUGGCCGGGCGACGGUUGUCCCGGUUUAAGCGUGUAGGUGUGUGUUCCAGGUAAAUCCGGUUCACUUUAACACUGAGGCGUGACGACGAGGCACUACGGUGCUGAAGCAACAAAUGCCCUGCUUCCAGGAAAAGCCUCUAAGCAUCAGGUAACAUCAAAUCGUACCCCAAACCGACACAGGUGGUCAGGUAGAGAAUACCAAGGCGCUUGAGAGAACUCGGGUGAAGGAACUAGGCAAAAUGGUGCCGUAACUUCGGGAGAAGGCACGCUGACACGUAGGUGAAGUGAUUUACUCAUGGAGCUGAAGUCAGUCGAAGAUACCAGCUGGCUGCAACUGUUUAUUAAAAACACAGCACUGUGCAAACACGAAAGUGGACGUAUACGGUGUGACGCCUGCCCGGUGCCGGAAGGUUAAUUGAUGGGGUCAGCGCAAGCGAAGCUCCUGAUCGAAGCCCCGGUAAACGGCGGCCGUAACUAUAACGGUCCUAAGGUAGCGAAAUUCCUUGUCGGGUAAGUUCCGACCUGCACGAAUGGCGUAAUGA